CGGAGUCCAGGGCCUGGUGAGAAGAGACAAGUGCAGCUUCACAUGGACUAAUCCAAGUAAGUCAGAUAUUUCAACACCACGAAUGUCGAGGUAUUUAAAAUGGGAACAUGUAAUAUUCGUACGUAUGUAUUGUUUGGUUUGUGCAGCGAGGAGCAGAACGAACGUGAGGCGUCGUUGGUCCAGGAUGAUGUGGACGUUGGAUCACAAAGUGCAUUUACUCAGGUGGAGGUGGAUGUGCAGUGUCCUCGAGCGCUCAGACCACACCCCACUUCUGGUUCAGACAAACCAAGAUGGCGCCGAACAAAAUACUAAACUUGAGGAUUUGAAAACGGCAGUUUACCAACCAGUGGGUGACGUCGCGGUGUGUUGCCAGUUGGACGCCACGCCCCAUCUCCUACGUCCUGAACUCACCGUGUGGCCGUCAGUCAGCGAGGAAGGAGUCGGUUUCCUUUAUUCAGUGUCUUUGCUUUAAAGACAACAGCCCUGCAUAUUUGCUUUUAUCUUGGUGUAAAACAGUUUAAGAGGCAUCUGUCUACACACCAAUAAAUCUGUGACUCGUCCGGUGUGUGUGUGUGUGUGUGUGUGUGUGUGUUUUGUUUUCAGCAGGUCUAACUGGUCUCCGGAGUGUUUGUUACAGGCUGUAAAUGGGACAGUUACUCCGUCCUCCUGUACCACUGGAUACACAUUGCACAAGUAUUUAGCACAUCUAUGUGUGUGUGUUUGUGUGUGUGUGUGUGUGUGUGGAUACAGUACAUGUGUAUGGGCCAUAAGCAUCUGUGAGCAUGUUUGUGUUUGCCAAAAUGGUGUGUAAGUGUUUCUAAUUUAUUGUAUUUCUUGGCAGUGUGUGGGUGUGUGCUUUGGCAAAAGAUGCAGGACUGUGUGUGUGUGUGUGUGUGUGUGUGUGUGUGUGUGUGUGUGUGUGUGUGUGUGUGUGUGUGAGAGACAGGGAGCAGAUGGGGAAUUAGUCCAUCAGCUGUUUAUUCUGCUGACUGUACAGUUUUCAUAAUGACUGGACCUGAGGCACACCCACACACAUACACACACACACACACACACACACACCCCCUCAGUAAACUUGUGUUUCCCUGUUUCCCUUCGCAGUUUUUAACUGUCGUCUCCCGAAAUAAAACGUCUGGAUCUAUUCUAACCGAAGCGCAGCUCUUUAAUCAGGGUGAGAACAAACGCAGUACACAGUCCCUCGUCUCCUCCGCGGUGUCUGAUGAUCAAGUCGCCUCGCGCUCGCAGCAGCUAAAGGUCUUUACAUUGCUAAAUCAGGCCCAACUUCAGAGACACUUUUCUGCUAAAAUAAGAAAAAGCGAAGCAGCACUUU
Molecule: long non-coding RNA, 1330 nt
Filed under: Scophthalmus maximus (turbot)
Lineage: Eukaryota; Metazoa; Chordata; Actinopteri; Pleuronectiformes; Scophthalmidae
Description: lncRNA (ENSSMAG00000037281.1)
Source: RNAcentral